UCACAGAUUCAUAAGGCAGCCAAGUGAUCACUGGUUAAAAUAUGCACACGAAAUUUCUCUUCAGUCCCAACCAAUAUUUUCCUCCAAACAUUUUUCUCUUUCAUUUGACACAGUAAAUCUUUCAUCCUGCUGUUUUUGUCACAAGUAGUGUAAAAAAAAAAACCAAGUAAAUUGUAAAUUAGGAGAGCUAAGACAUGUCUUCCUUUUCUAUUUUCCAUACCAACACAAAUCCAUGACUGCCCAUUUGGAUCAUAAGGGGAAUGGAAGUUGGACUCAUACUGGAAGUAUGGAAUGGUACAUUCUAAUAAACAAAGAAAGUGCAACAGCCAGAACCACUAUGCAAUACUGUUCCAAAUGAAGUGGAGAAGUGCUGUUAAAUCUGUAUGUCUAGGAGGUGUGGCGUGUUUAGCGACUUGAUGUCUGUGUUAUCCAGCACACUGACUUUUCAGAGUCGUCUCCACGUUGUAAUGAGCAACCUCUAUCCUGCUACCAGAGCCCAGAGAGAAAUAAACCAAGACCACCAGCUAAGACAUUAUGUAAUUGCCAUGGAUAUGAGCAAUGAAUGACCUCAGGUACUGUAUUGAGAUGAAAAGAUUUAGCCAAAACCAAAAAAAGUGCAUGUAAAAAGGAUUUGUUAGUUAGAUUGUGCCUCCAAAUCUCUUCUGAAGGGGCUUGUACAAAACAGAGCAUUCCCUGAACAUUGAACCACUGUGGUUUAACUGGGCGUAACUGGGUUUCAAGAUUCAAGAUACUGCUCAGAUUAUUCUGCAAUAAACUCUUCUGAUUGCCAGCAGGAGGGAGCCCAUGGAUGCCAAACUAACCCCAUCUCUUCAGCCAGCUGGGCUAUCACA
Long non-coding RNA from Chiroxiphia lanceolata (lance-tailed manakin), 851 nucleotides. RefSeq lists it as uncharacterized. NCBI's taxonomy places the organism in Eukaryota, Metazoa, Chordata, Aves, Passeriformes, Pipridae. The transcript has 4 exons. The record is from RefSeq and is a predicted model, not a curated record.